RNAcentral lists this ribosomal RNA (208 nucleotides) under uncultured Lysobacteraceae bacterium. Its description in RNAcentral is "uncultured Xanthomonadaceae bacterium partial 16S ribosomal RNA". It matches the Rfam family "Bacterial small subunit ribosomal RNA", at positions 568 to 774 of the family's 1533-position model. Lineage: Bacteria; Pseudomonadati; Pseudomonadota; Gammaproteobacteria; Lysobacterales; Lysobacteraceae. The record is from RNAcentral.
UGCGUAGGUGGUCUGUCAAGUCCGAUGUGAAAGCCCUGGGCUCAACCUGGGAACUGCAUUGGAAACUGGCAGUCUGGAGUGCGGUAGAGGGUAGCGGAAUUCCCGGUGUAGCAGUGAAAUGCGUAGAUAUCGGGAGGAACAUCCGUGGCGAAGGCGGCUACCUGGACCAGCACUGACACUGAGGCAUGAAAGCGUGGGGGAGCAAACA